GCCGGGCGUGGUGGCAGGCGCCUGUAGUUCCAGCUACUCAGGAGGCUGAGGCAGGAGAAUGGCGUGAAUCUGGGAGGCGGAGGUUGCAGUGAGCCGAGAUCACACCGUGCAGUCCAGCCUGGGCGACAGAGCGAAACUUUUUUUUUUUUGAGACGGAGUCUCACACUUGUUGCCCAGGCUGGAGUGCAUGGUGUGAUCUUGGCUCACUGCAACCUCCGCCUCCCGGGUUCAAGCCAUUCUCCCGCCUCAG
This 250-nucleotide small RNA is filed under the name Pongo abelii (Sumatran orangutan). RNAcentral's name for it is "Metazoan signal recognition particle RNA (ENSPPYG00000034636.1)". The record is from RNAcentral. Lineage: Eukaryota; Metazoa; Chordata; Mammalia; Primates; Hominidae.